This 964-nucleotide ribosomal RNA is filed under the name Russula sp. RNAcentral's name for it is "partial 28S large subunit ribosomal RNA". It matches the Rfam family "Eukaryotic large subunit ribosomal RNA", at positions 21 to 955 of the family's 3401-position model. Lineage: Eukaryota; Fungi; Basidiomycota; Agaricomycetes; Russulales; Russulaceae. The record is from RNAcentral.
GCGUUACCCGCUGAACUUAAGCAUAUCAAUAAGCGGAGGAAAAGAAACUAACAAGGAUUCCCCUAGUAACUGCGAGUGAAGCGGGAAAAGCUCAAAUUUAAAAUCUGGUGGCCUCUGGUCACCCGAGUUGUAAUUUAGAGAAGCGUCUUCCGCGCUGGACCAUGCACAAGUCUCCUGGAAUGGAGCCUCAUAGAGGGUGAGAAUCCCGUCUUUGGCAUGGAUGCACCAGGGCUUUCGUGAUGCGCUCUCAAAGAGUCGAGUUGUUUGGGAAUGCAGCUCAAAAUGGGUGGUGAACUCCAUCUAAAGCUAAAUAUAGGCGAGAGACCGAUAGCGAACAAGUACCGUGAGGGAAAGAUGAAAAGCACUUUGGAAAGAGAGUGAAACAGUACGUGAAAUUGUUGAAAGGGAAACGCUUGAAGUCAGUCGCGUCGACCGAGACUCAGCCUCGCCUUGGCUUGGUGUACUUCUCGGCCGACGGGUCAGCGUCAAUUUUGCCCCUCGGAUAAUGGCGAGGGAAAGGUGGCACCUUUAUAGGUGUGUUAUAGUCUCUUGUCGCAUGCGAGGGUCGGGAUUGAGGAACUCAGCACGCACCUCUCGGUGUCGGGGCUUCGGCCCACGCUACGUGCUUAGGAUGCUGGCGUAAUGGCUUUAAACGACCCGUCUUGAAACACGGACCAAGGAGUCUAACAUGCCCGCGAGUGUUCGGGUGGAAAACCCGUGCGCGUAAUGAAAGUAAAAGUUGGGACCUCUGUCGUGGGGGGCACCGACGCCCGGACCAGACCUUCUGUGACGGAUCUGCGGUAGAGCGUGCAUGUUGGGACCCGAAAGAUGGUGAACUAUGCCUGAAUAGGGUGAAGCCAGAGGAAACUCUGGUGGAGGCUCGKAGCGAUUCUGACGUGCAAAUCGAUCGUCAAAUUUGGGUAUAGGGGCCGAAAGACUAAUCCGAACCAUCUUUGUAGUUGGU